UACGAAGGGGGCUAGCGUUGCUCGGAAUGACUGGACGUAAAGGGCGCGUAGGCGGUUUGUACAGUCAGAUGUGAAAUUCCUGGGCUCAACCUGGGGGCUGCAUUUGAUACGUGCGGACUAGAGUGGGGAAGAGGGUCGUGGAAUUCCCAGUGUAGAGGUGAAAUUCGUAGAUAUUGGGAAGAACACCGGUGGCGAAGGCGGCCUGCUGGGCAGUAGCUGACACUGAGGCGCGACACGUGGGGAGCAAACAGG
This 252-nucleotide ribosomal RNA is filed under the name uncultured bacterium. RNAcentral describes it as "partial 16S ribosomal RNA". It matches the Rfam family "Bacterial small subunit ribosomal RNA", at positions 524 to 776 of the family's 1533-position model. The record is from RNAcentral.